AUGUUACCCAUUCUUCUCUGUUUGUCCUCAGAAUGUCCCACUGAUUGGAAGAUGUUCAAUGGUCGCUGUUUCCUUUUUAAUCCAUUACAAUUGCAUUGGGCUGACGCUCAGGAAAGCUGUAUGAAGGAGGGGGCAAACCUUGCAUCCAUUCACAGUCUUGAAGAGUCUACAUUUAUUAAGGAGCUGACAUCUGCAGACUUAAUCCCAUCAUGGAUUGGAGGCACAGAUUGCCAAGUGUCAACCCGUUGGUUUUGGAUGGAUAGUACAAGUAUGGAUUAUGCUGACUGGUGCGCUGCACAACCUGAUACUACCUUAACUGAGUGCUGCAUACAGAUGAAUGUUGGAAUUGGAAAAUGCUGGAAUGACACACCUUGUACGCAUCUUCAUUCAUCAAUCUGCGCCAAGCCACUGAAAUGAUUC
Clupea harengus (Atlantic herring) is the source of this 420-nucleotide long non-coding RNA. RefSeq lists it as uncharacterized. The record is from RefSeq and is a predicted model, not a curated record. The transcript has 4 exons. Lineage: Eukaryota; Metazoa; Chordata; Actinopteri; Clupeiformes; Clupeidae.